GGGGGGGAGGGGGCGGGGUCAGGGGAGGAGGCGGAGUCUGUUAAAUAAGCGGGGGCGGGGCCAGGCGGCUGUCAAUCAAAUGGAGCUGUCAAUCAAACGGGGCUGUCAAUCAACCCGGGCUGUCAAUCAAGUGGAGCUGUCAAUCAAACUGGAGAUGUCAAUCAACCGGAGCUGUCAAUCACGGCUGUCAAUCAGACGAGGCUGUCAAUCAACCCGGGCUGUCAAUCAAGUGGAGCUGUCAAUCAAACGGGGCUGUCAAUCAAAUUGAGCUGUCAAUCACCGGCUGCUGUCAAUCAGGGGCUGUUAUUUGAUGAGCUGUCAAUCAAAUGGGGCUGUCAAUCAAACGGAGCUGUCAAUCACGCGCUGCCUGGAGUGUCAAUCAAGUGGAGGUGUCAAUCAAAUGGAGCUGUCAAUCAAACGGGGCUGUCAAUCAAACUGGAGCUGUCAAUCAAUUCUAUCCAUCACAUAGAGCUGUCAAUCAAACACAAGGGAUCAAAUCGAGCUGUCAAUCAAAGACACUCACCGGCCCCUCCUCACCGGGGGGGGUCUCUUGCUGUGGGGGGGGGCUCCUCGUCCGCCGCCCCCCCC
This 588-nucleotide long non-coding RNA is filed under the name Anas zonorhyncha (Eastern spot-billed duck). RNAcentral's name for it is "lncRNA (ENSAZOG00000008563.1)". Lineage: Eukaryota; Metazoa; Chordata; Aves; Anseriformes; Anatidae. The record is from RNAcentral.